UAAAACAAUUUUGUUUAAUUCACUUAACAGCCCUCUUUUUAAAUUAUUUUUGUUUUACAAUGAAACAUACAUGCAUACCUACUUAUAUACAGUAAAAAAGCUUGACAAAGAUUGCAAUUAAAUCACUUAUUUUUUUUUAAUAAUCACUAUAAGUGGGCUUUCUAUAACUUCUAAUGCACAAGUUUGGAGAGGUUUUGCGUGAAAAGCAGAUAGAACUUGCAAGUCGUUGUUGACAAAAUAAGGAAGGUACUCAUGCAAUGGAUAAGUCAAAACUAUUAAAAGAUUAUUAAUACUUAUUGAGUUUUGGGGGAAAAUGUAUGGGCAUAUGGCAAGAAUACAGACCAGAGCCUGGUAACACACAGAUCUGUGAUUAAUCUAAUUAUUGAGCAAUUCUGAUUAUAUAAUGACCAAAUGUUCUAAUAACAAUGUAUCAUGAAUGGCAUUUUACAACUGAUCACAAAGCUUUGUGUUAAAGGGGUUAAAAUUGCAUACAAAGUUUUUUUAAAUAUUUUUCAAAUAUAAAAGUAUUCUACUUUUACAUGAAUGUGUAUUAAAAUGAAACAAGCCUUAAUAUUUUAAACUCUUGCUUAAAACUGCAUAGUAAGUGAAUAAACUCUAAACUAAAUCACAAUUUUUCAUGAAAUAAAACCUGAAAAACCUCCGGUUGAUUAAAUUUGACUGCUCUUGCUGGAUAUGUAAUAUCUGUCUUGAAAUAC
Molecule: long non-coding RNA, 716 nt
Organism: Lytechinus variegatus (green sea urchin)
Lineage: Eukaryota; Metazoa; Echinodermata; Echinoidea; Temnopleuroida; Toxopneustidae
Exons: 2
Source: RefSeq, a predicted model, not a curated record